This 398-nucleotide ribosomal RNA is filed under the name Massisteria sp. RNAcentral describes it as "partial small subunit ribosomal RNA". It matches the Rfam family "Eukaryotic small subunit ribosomal RNA", at positions 582 to 975 of the family's 1831-position model. Lineage: Eukaryota; Cercozoa; Massisteriidae. The record is from RNAcentral.
AUUCCAGCUCCAGUAGCGUAUAUUAAAGUUGUUGCAGUUAAAAAGCUCGUAGUUGGAUUUCUGGCGUGGUGCGCCCGGCCCGAUACCGCUAAGGUGUCGAGUGCCGGCGCGCGCCUGCCAUCCUUCCGGAGAGCGUGCCUACCCUUCACUGGGCCGGGUACGCGAUCUGGAUCGUUUACUUUGAAAAAAUUAGAGUGUUUAAAGCAGGCUUACGCUUCUGAAUACAUUAGCAUGGAAUAAUAAGAUAGGACUUUGGUUCUAUUUUGUUGGUUUCUAGGACUAAAGUAAUGAUUGAUAGGGACAGUUGGGGGUGCUAGUAUUUAACGGCCAGAGGUGAAAUUCUUGGAUUCGUUAAAGACUAACUAAUGCGAAAGCAUUCACCAAGGAUGUCUUCAUCG